GGUUAAGCGACUAAGCGUACACGGUGGAUGCCCUGGCAGUCAGAGGCGAUGAAGGACGUGCUAAUCUGCGAAAAGCGUCGGUAAGGUGAUAUGAACCGUUACAGCCGGCGAUGUCCGAAUGGGGAAACCCAGUGCAAUUCGUUGCACUAUCGUUUGAUGAAUACAUAGUCAAACGAGGCGAACCGGGGGAACUGAAACAUCUAAGUACCCCGAGGAAAAGAAAUCAACCGAGAUUCCCCCAGUAGCGGCGAGCGAACGGGGAGCAGCCCGGAGUCUGAAUCAGCUUGUGUGUUAGUGGAAGCGUCUGGAAAGUCGCAGGGUACAGGGUGAUACUCCCGUACACUAAAACACACAGGCUGUGAACUCGAAGAGUAGGGCGGGACACGUGGUAUCCUGUCUGAAUAUGGGGGGACCAUCCUCCAAGGCUAAAUACUCCUGACUGACCGAUAGUGAACCAGUACCGUGAGGGAAAGGCGAAAAGAACCCCGGCGAGGGGAGUGAAAAAGAACCUGAAACCGUGUACGUACAAGCAGUAGGAGCCCACUUGUUGGGUGACUGCGUACCUUUUGUAUAAUGGGUCAGCGACUUAUAUUCUGUAGCAAGGUUAACCGUAUAGGGGAGCCGCAGGGAAACCGAGUCUUAACUGGGCGUUAAGUUGCAGGGUAUAGACCCGAAACCCGGUGAUCUAGCCAUGGGCAGGUUGAAGGUUGGGUAACACUAACUGGAGGACCGAACCGACUAAUGUUGAAAAAUUAGCGGAUGACUUGUGGCUGGGGGUGAAAGGCCAAUCAAACCGGGAGAUAGCUGGUUCUCCCCGAAAGCUAUUUAGGUAGCGCCUCGUGAAUUCAUCUUCGGGGGUAGAGCACUGUUUCGGCUAGGGGGUCAUCCCGACUUACCAACCCGAUGCAAACUACGAAUACCGAAGAAUGUUAUCACGGGAGACACACGGCGGGUGCUAACGUCCGUCGUGAAGAGGGAAACAACCCAGACCGCCAGCUAAGGUCCCAAAGUCAUGGUUAAGUGGGAAACGAUGUGGGAAGGCCCAGACAGCCAGGAUGUUGGCUUAGAAGCAGCCAUCAUUUAAAGAAAGCGUAAUAGCUCACUGGUCGAGUCGGCCUGCGCGGAAGAUGUAACGGGGCUAAACCAUGCACCGAAGCUGCGGCAGCGACGCUUAGGCGUUGUUGGGUAGGGGAGCGUUCUGUAAGCCGUUGAAGGUGGCCUGUGAGGGUUGCUGGAGGUAUCAGAAGUGCGAAUGCUGACAUAAGUAACGAUAAUGCGGGUGAAAAACCCGCACGCCGGAAGACCAAGGGUUCCUGUCCAACGUUAAUCGGGGCAGGGUGAGUCGACCCCUAAGGCGAGGCCGAAAGGCGUAGUCGAUGGGAAACAGGUUAAUAUUCCUGUACUUGGUGUUACUGCGAAGGGGGGACGGAGAAGGCUAUGUUGGCCGGGCGACGGUUGUCCCGGUUUAAGCAUGUAGGCGGAUGUUCCAGGUAAAUCCGGAACGUUAUUAACGCUGAGGUGUGAUGACGAGGCACUACGGUGCUGAAGUGACAAAUGCCCUGCUUCCAGGAAAAGCCUCUAAGCAUCAGGUAACAUCAAAUCGUACCCCAAACCGACACAGGUGGUCAGGUAGAGAAUACCAAGGCGCUUGAGAGAACUCGGGUGAAGGAACUAGGCAAAAUGGUGCCGUAACUUCGGGAGAAGGCACGCUGAUAUGUAGGUGAAGUGGUUUACCCAUGGAGCUGAAAUCAGUCGAAGAUACCAGCUGGCUGCAACUGUUUAUUAAAAACACAGCACUGUGCAAACACGAAAGUGGACGUAUACGGUGUGACGCCUGCCCGGUGCCGGAAGGUUAAUUGAUGGGGUUAUCCGUAAGGAGAAGCUCUUGAUCGAAGCCCCGGUAAACGGCGGCCGUAACUAUAACGGUCCUAAGGUAGCGAAAUUCCUUGUCGGGUAAGUUCCGACCUGCACGAAUGGCGUAAUGAUGGCCAGGCUGUCUCCACCCGAGACUCAGUGAAAUUGAACUCGCUGUGAAGAUGCAGUGUACCCGCGGCAAGACGGAAAGACCCCGUGAACCUUUACUAUAGCUUGACACUGAACACUGGUCCUUGAUGUGUAGGAUAGGUGGGAGGCUUUGAAGUGUGGACGCCAGUCUGCAUGGAGCCAUCCUUGAAAUACCACCCUUUAAUGGCUGGUGUUCUAACGUGGGCCCGUAAUCCGGGUUGCGGACAGUGUCUGGUGGGUAGUUUGACUGGGGCGGUCUCCUCCUAAAGAGUAACGGAGGAGCACGAAGGUCAGCUAAUCCUGGUCGGACAUCAGGAGGUUAGUGCAAUGGCAUAAGCUGGCUUGACUGCGAGCGUGACGGCGCGAGCAGGUGCGAAAGCAGGUCAUAGUGAUCCGGUGGUUCUGAAUGGAAGGGCCAUCGCUCAACGGAUAAAAGGUACUCCGGGGAUAACAGGCUGAUACCGCCCAAGAGUUCAUAUCGACGGCGGUGUUUGGCACCUCGAUGUCGGCUCAUCACAUCCUGGGGCUGAAGUAGGUCCCAAGGGUAUGGCUGUUCGCCAUUUAAAGUGGUACGCGAGCUGGGUUUAGAACGUCGUGAGACAGUUCGGUCCCUAUCUGCCGUGGGCGCUGGAGAAUUGAGGGGGGCUGCUCCUAGUACGAGAGGACCGGAGUGGACGCAUCACUGGUGUUCGGGUUGUCAUGCCAAUGGCAUUGCCCGGUAGCUAAAUGCGGAAGAGAUAAGUGCUGAAAGCAUCUAAGUACGAAACUUGCCCCGAGAUGAGUUCUCCCUGACUCCUUGAGAGUCCUGAAGGAACGUUGAAGACGACGACGUUGAUAGGCCGGGUGUGUAAGCGCAGCGAUGCGUUGAGCUAACCGGUACUAAUGAACCGUGAGGCUUAACCUU
RNAcentral lists this ribosomal RNA (2908 nucleotides) under Klebsiella pasteurii. RNAcentral's name for it is "23S ribosomal RNA". It matches the Rfam family "Bacterial large subunit ribosomal RNA". The record is from RNAcentral. Lineage: Bacteria; Pseudomonadati; Pseudomonadota; Gammaproteobacteria; Enterobacterales; Enterobacteriaceae.